Molecule: non-coding RNA, 99 nt
Filed under: uncultured Bittarella sp.
Lineage: Bacteria; Bacillati; Bacillota; Clostridia; Eubacteriales; Oscillospiraceae
Description: pemK RNA
Rfam family: pemK RNA
Source: RNAcentral
UAAUGAUACUCCCGCCCAGUCACAGGUCGAGCGUGAUAAAACCGUCGCAACCAAUGAGGGCGGCCGCAUGAGAACCAUGCAGGGGGUGAGAUUCCCGUG